RNAcentral lists this long non-coding RNA (1669 nucleotides) under Mytilus galloprovincialis (Mediterranean mussel). The record is from RNAcentral. Lineage: Eukaryota; Metazoa; Mollusca; Bivalvia; Mytilida; Mytilidae.
UGUUUGUGUCCACAUUUGUUGUAGAAAUUGUAGAUUUUUCAUCUCUUUGAGUCAGGGCAAUUUGUGUUAUUACGACACAUCUAAUCAUGCUAGUUACAACUUUUUAUUUAGAACCAAAAAUAAAAGUCAAAAUAAAUUUUGUCAAAAAUAUAUUUCAUAAAAUUUCAACAAAAUAUUUUGGGCAAAAUAUACAUACAAAGACUGAUGUAACUUUUAUAUAAACAGAAUAACAUAUUUUUAAACAACCUCUAGAUGAUAAUCAGAACUUAAAUAAAGAUCUAUAUUUCCCAGUACUAUUGCCAACCAUUGUUAAUACAUGUCCUGGACCAAACACAUAUGGUUAAUUGAUUAAAGAAGAUGUGGUACUAAUGCCAAUGAGACAACUCUUCCUCUAAGUCACAAUUUGAAAAAGUAAACCAUUAUAGGUCAGAGUAUGGCAUUCAACAUGUAGCCUUAGUUCACAUCAAACAGCAAGCUAUUAAGUGCCCCAAAAAUGACUAGUGUAAAACCAUUCAAACAGGAAUUCAAAUUUAUUUGGAAAACAAAUCUAUAUGGUCUGGUCUGUCAACAUAAACCAAACUAAUAUAUAUACUCAUAUUUUUUUAACAUAUAAGUACCCGUGCAUCAAUAUGGUCAUGACCACAGGCAUGCAGUCCAAAAAGUGACAUGAUCCAGAACAUAUACAUAAGUAUGGCAUUCCCUUUAUUGCAAAAAUAUAAUUUUAUAAAUAAUACAAAAUAAUCAUUUGAGCUGCGUCGGAUAUAAAUCACCCAUGUGUAAAUGAAUAUCAUUACAUCUGUUAUCCUAUUUGAGGUUAAACAAAUUUCAAAGUCUGUACUUGUUUGAAAAUGUUAUAUGUUAAGGUGGUACCUAACACUUACACUAAAAUUAAUUUGGCUCUUAUAAUUUUCAUAAAAUUUUGUCAAAGUAUUUACUUUGACCCUUUAACAAAAAUAUAAAAAUUUCUAAAGCUUUGAACCAACUGUUUUGUCAGAAAAAUUACACUGGUCAUAUAGCAGUUUGACAAACACCAAUGUUGAUCAUUGAGAAGUUUAAUAUUCCCUUUACAACACAACGUAAUUAAAACAUUUAGCUGACUUUAUAGAGUUAUCUCCCUGUAGUGUUAGGUACCACCUUAAAAGAACUCUUCAAAACAGACCAAAACCUAUCUUUCAUUUCAUAUUUGAAUGUUCGAAAAUAAAUCAAAGUCUUAAAUAUGUACCUGUAUAUUUUCACUAGAAUAUGGUCGAUUUCUAUCUGAUGCAUUUCUUUCUAAAAAUAUUGUCAUGAACAAUUCACUGAUGUGUAUUAAGUCUGAAGUUGAUUAGCAAAAAACUUUUAAAACAGGUUUUUCACAAUUUUAUAUUAAGCACUUUAAUUAAAAGCAGAAGUGACUUUUGUUAUUUUUUCUCCGUUUGGAAAAACAUUUCUAUGGUUAAACCUUAAAUACUACAUUUUUGGGGGCAAAUUUCCACUUAAGGUGGUACCUAACACUUUAACUAAAAUUAAUUUGGCUCGUUUAAUUUUCAUAAAAUUUGACAAGGUAUUUACUUUGACCCUUUGACCAAAAUAUAAAAAUUUAAAAAAAAUUGAACCAACCGUUUUAUCAGAAAAAUAACACUGGUUAUAUAGCAGUUUGACAAACACUUAUUUUGAUCAUUGAGAAGCU